GAGUCGGUUCAGUGAACAGAUUCGUAUACAAAUGAGUGUCAGUUUCGAUUCGUUUAAAAGCUAGAAGAGCUGUACAACUCCGUUUAAAGUAAGGAAAUUAUUAAGGGAUACAUUUUACCGUGGAUGUGUAAGCAAACGGGACAGUAUUUUGUAUCACAUGAACAGAAUUUCGCUGUCAUAAUCCCGAAGGCAGAUCAUUUUACACCGGUUAAUGAUGAACGGACCGAAUCUAUACAGUGCGGUGGUCGCUAAAGGAGCUCCACCGUCAUCCGAUACACAACCAAAAUCUGGCCUGUUGAAUCUGAAGAGAUCACUUCUGGAUCUGAUGGCUCAAUACCCUGAAGGCAUCAGUUUAAGUAAAGCCCGCAGAUCCUGUCCGCUUCUCCUCGACUCAGAAGUAUUGAAUGGCUUUGGUUCGGUCCGGCAGCUCUUGGCAUCCAUGCCUGAUGUGGUGACGCUGCAUGGACUCGGGGUCCAGACGUUCCUUCUCCCGGCUGGAGCUAAACUAUAGUAUAAGACACAUCUGAAAGGUUUUAACAGAGAUUCUUCAAUGAAAAAAACUAAACGGAAAACAAAUGUAAUGCUUAAUGAACAAAGCAUUACUGGAAAUGCGAAAGCUGUGAUCUCUCCAAUGUGGCCUGGAUGAAAACACACAUCAGCAGUAAUAAGAGGACCGGGAUUUUUUCAUACCACAACAUUUGUAAUCGUUUAGUAGUGUAUUUUUAAAAUAUUUGAUUACACUUUAUAUUAAGGUGUCCUUGUUAAAAUGUAAUGAUUUAACAAAUUACUGAGUAAUUUUAAUUAAAGGUGCAGAAGGUGAUUGUC
Molecule: non-coding RNA, 825 nt
Organism: Danio rerio (zebrafish)
Lineage: Eukaryota; Metazoa; Chordata; Actinopteri; Cypriniformes; Danionidae
Source: RefSeq, a predicted model, not a curated record